Molecule: long non-coding RNA, 2852 nt
Organism: Bombyx mori (domestic silkworm)
Lineage: Eukaryota; Metazoa; Arthropoda; Insecta; Lepidoptera; Bombycidae
Exons: 4
Source: RefSeq, a predicted model, not a curated record
GACGGCUCACUUAGGGCUCGCGAUUGUUUCCUCACUGCCCCAAAUAAUAAGUCAUUAAAUUUAAAGCUCGGAUAUUGCGCUUGUCAUCUUAAGGUCAUUUUUAUUACGAUCGUCCGAAGAAGCAAUAAAAAUACAAUAUACAUCGAGACGAUUGUCGCUUAUCGUUCGCUACGAAGCAAAGAACGGAUUCUUUUAUUUGGACUUAAGUGAUCUGUGUUAAUUUGGAUCGGUAUCGUGCCAUGAGACAUUUCGUGUGAUAAUUGAUCUGAGGACAGUAGCUCAUACAUGAAAACAGUCUGUUGGGUAAAGAUUAGAAGAUAUUAUCAAGAAACAUCGCUAUCUGCGUCAAGGAAAACUAUAGUUGCAGUGCAUUUUGGAAAUCUGGCGAAGGUGAUACAAAAGGGUGGUCACGACCCUCAGCAGUGAGGAAAACGACGCAACAGAAGGAGCCUAGAAAGGGGAAUAUUAUUUUUCCCUCUCGCCUAUGUUUCAUAUCAGUUACUGAUGAUUUUCACUGGUGGUAGGACCUCUUGUGAGUCCGGGUAGGUACCACCACCCCACCUAUUUCUGCCGUGAAGCAGUAAUGCGUUUCGGCUUGAAGGGUGGGGUAGCCGUUGUAACUAUACUGAUACCUUAGAACUUAUAUCUCAAGGUGGGUGGCGCAUUUACAUUGUAGAUGUCUAUGGGCUCCAGUAACCACUUAACACCAGGUGGGCUGUGAGCUCCUCCACCCAUCUAAGCAAUAAAAAAAAAAAGAUUAAAUCAUAUUCGAUUUUAAAUUCAAAGCAGUCUCAGUUUGAAACCACAGCAAACAAGUGACUGAACAAUAUUAUUGCGGUUAUUUCGUAUGUGAGUCUGACUAACGAAUUGCACAACGGGUUGCAAUGUUUAAUUUUAUGCAUUUCAAUCAGAUUCGCGAAGGUUGCCCGUGAGUAAUUCAUGAGAAAAUACUAAGUGACGACUCCUUGUGGUUAUCCGUGAUUUCAAUGUAAAUAUAGAACUCGGUCUCAACGCAGUAUUUCCAUUUCAUUGACGUGUUUAACAAGCUAUAAAUAUGUCAUGAGGGGAAUAUGUAACUAUGCAUGAUGUAAAAUCUCCGCCAGUAAUAUGACCUAAUCCGAGAUUGUGUUUUAAAUGAACCUAUGCAUUUUACUGUGAAACAAUGCGGUAAUGUGCUUAAGAUAUUUUUAUAGUAAUAAUUUAUUUCCUUACAAACUGACUGGUCUAGGAGGAAUGUGGAGAUGGAGACAGCGAUAAGGAAUGGUAUGUGCCGUCAUGAAUGUGAGUGGGAAUAAAAUUGACGGAAAGAUAAUGUUGUUUGAAUUAAACUUUCAUUUGCUGUUGAUAUCUAGUAAGGAUAACGACUUAACGUUAGUGGUACCUAGACUGAAAUGGUAAAAGAGUAAAGCUCAUAGACCAGAUAGUUAGAAGAACUUGAGACAUGAGGUCGAUCUUUCUUUAUUCGUUUCAUUCUCUCGGUAGGCAGCGGCUCGGCUCUGCUCCUGGCAUUGCUGAAGUCCAUGGGCGACGAUAACCACUCACCAUCAGGUGGGCCGUAUGCUCGCCUGCCUCAAAGGGUAAUAAAAAAAAUUUUUUUUUUUUAAUUCUGUACAUCCAUAUCUUUUUAUAUCCAAAACACCGUAUUACUAUCAAUAUAUUACAGCUAUACCCUACUCUGACUAAAUAGAUACUAAAUAUAACGUUAAUUAAUACACGAUUGAGCUUCAGUAUUAACGAUAUACAAAAUGUAUUUGUAAAAAUCAAUGGAGAUAAGAAUACCGUGGUGAAUAUUCGUCCCAGUUUCCAUUGACAUAAUAACUAAUGAUGCAACCGUACCUGCCCGCGUCAACGGUCCGCAGUCGACAUCACUACGCGCCGAUAAAACUUUACGAGUCUUCCUGUUGUUUCAGUAACCGGAUCACGGAUCGGUCCGGGACCGACUAAUUGGGACAUCUGGUUUAUAUUUGGCAAAUUUAUUAUGGAUGUGAAACGUUGGGACAUUCUUUGAGAGUGCGGUAGAUGGCAAACAUUCCAGAGGACGCAGCCCCACGAGAUGGUCGGACCAAAUACGAUCUUCUCUAAACAUCAACUUCAACAAUGCCCUUCAUGAAGCUAAGGAUCGCAGCAGAUGGAGGGAAAUCGUACGGGAGAAACUGAUGCAGCGGGGGAGUCACGACCCUCAGUAAUGAGGAAAACGACGCGAGGAGGAGGAUUUCUAUGAAGUUGCAAUACAAACGAGCGCUGUGUUCCGUCCAUUAUCGUGCAUUAUCUACAAAGGUAUGUAUGUACGUCUCAACAACAACCGCGGCUUCGGUGCAGUGUUCUCGAGUGGAGCUCUUGUGCGUAACCAGUAGGGUUGACACUACGAACACGAAGUUGUUUAAUGUUAUUUAACUCUCUAUAUAUUUCUGAGCGAAAUCGACUGCUCAGGAUUUGUUACGUUUCAAAUUUUUGUACUUUGGCCCGAAAUACUAACAACAAAUUUUCGAGAAUUUUUUUAUACAAUUAUAAUAAUAAUAAUAAUAGCCUUUUUAUUCCUAAACAUAGGGUUACAAGAGGUCCCUAAGUUCGGUGUGCCUUUUGGCAUAGGCCUCCUCAAAUUCCUUCCAAUGGGUCCUAUCCCUUGCUACUCUCAGCCAGAAUGGUCCCGCUGUCUGCUUCAAGUCAUCUUCCCAUCUCCUGAUUUGACGACCCCUACUUCGUUUGCCGUCUCUUGGUUGCCAGAGGGUGACUUGCUUGCUUGUUUUUAUACAAUUACUGUAUAACAAUGAUUUUUUAAAUCAUGAUGCGGUGUCUAAUUGUUACAAUAAGUUUAGAGCACUGUUACUGUAUGUCCACUCUCUCAAAAUUAA